Molecule: long non-coding RNA, 275 nt
Filed under: Marmota monax (woodchuck)
Lineage: Eukaryota; Metazoa; Chordata; Mammalia; Rodentia; Sciuridae
Source: RNAcentral
GCAUCCAAGAUGGUGAAAGGAAAGAAGGUCAAGGGGAAGAAGGUGGCCCAAGCCCCAGCCACGGUCAAGAAGCAGGGAGCCAAGAAGGUGGUGAAUCCACCAUUCAGGAAGAGGCUGAAGAACAGACCAGAGACCAAGCAGGAGAGGAACCAGAGGCCGUUGGCCAGGGCUCAGAAGAAGGCUGCUGGCAAAGGGGUUGUCCCCAUGAACAGAACACAGAUCCUUUGAGCAGGAGCCAACACCGACACCACCUUAGUGGAGAACAGGAAGGCUAA